AGCAGCCGCGGUAAUUCCAGCUCCAAUAGCGUAUAUUAAAGUUGUUGCAGUUAAAAGCUCGUAGUUGAAUUUCGGGAUCAAGGGAUUGGUCAUGCCUCGGUAUGUACUGGUCUUAUUGGUUCUCACCUUCUAAAGAACCAUGAUGUCAUUCAUUUGAUGUUAUGGGGAAUUAGGACUGUUACCUUAGAAAAAUUAGAGUGUUUAAAGCAAGCUUACGCUUGAAUACAUUAGCAUGGAAUAAUGAAAUAGGACAUCAGAUUCUAUUUUGUUGGUUUCUAGGAUCGAUGUAAUGAUUAAUAGGGAUAGUUGGGGGCAUUAGUAUUCAAUUGUCAGAGGUGAAAUUCUUGGAUUUAUUGAAGACUAACUACUGCGAAAGCAUUUGCCAAGGAUGUUUUCAUUAAUCAAGAACGAAAGUCAGGGAUCGAAGACGAUCAGAUACCGUCGUAGUCU
This 450-nucleotide ribosomal RNA is filed under the name uncultured Glomeromycotina. RNAcentral describes it as "SSU rRNA". It matches the Rfam family "Eukaryotic small subunit ribosomal RNA", at positions 569 to 1026 of the family's 1831-position model. Lineage: Eukaryota; Fungi; Glomeromycota. The record is from RNAcentral.